This 253-nucleotide unclassified non-coding RNA is filed under the name uncultured Planctomycetota bacterium. RNAcentral describes it as "uncultured planctomycete contains 16S-23S intergenic spacer region". It matches the Rfam family "Bacterial small subunit ribosomal RNA", at positions 524 to 776 of the family's 1533-position model. Lineage: Bacteria; Pseudomonadati; Planctomycetota. The record is from RNAcentral.
UACGUAGGUGGCAAGCGUUGUCCGGAUUCACUGGGCAUAAAGGGCGCGUAGGCGGUCCCGUAAGCGGCGUGUGAAAUCCCGGAGCUCAACUCCGGAAUUGCGCGCUGAACUGCGGGGCUCGAGGGCAGGAGGGGAGUGUGGAACUCUAGGUGGAGCGGUGAAAUGCGUAGAUAUCUAGAGGAACGCCGGUGGCGAAAGCGACACUCUGGCCUGCAUCUGACGCUGAGGCGCGAAAGCGUGGGUAGCAAACAGG